This 3654-nucleotide long non-coding RNA is filed under the name Equus caballus (horse). RNAcentral's name for it is "lncRNA (ENSECAG00000059748.1)". Lineage: Eukaryota; Metazoa; Chordata; Mammalia; Perissodactyla; Equidae. The record is from RNAcentral.
GGCAGGCCCCCGGCCCUCGGACUGUCCUCCACCGGAGCGAGGGCUGUGUGGGCCGCACUGACAAGGGAUGGGGUGGUCAAUCCUAAGUGCCUGGUCAGAUCCGUGGGGCUCCGUCCUCUCCGCUGGGCCCAGCCUCCCCCAGGUGCCCCUCCUCAGGCAGCAGCCAAUCGCCUGCUCCCGCCUUGACCCCCUCCCCUCUCUCCUCGGCUUACUCUCAGGAUUCCAAAAGGUGAAGACGCGGCUAAUCAAGUAAGCGUCUGCCAGGCGGCGCUUCUUUGAGGAGGAGGGAGAGGAGGGCGGACCCUCCACCGCGGGGCGCCGUGCGCCGUGAGGAUGGAGCAUCGCUGCCGCCGGGAGAGAGCGAGCGUGCGCGACUUUCGGGGUCUGCCCACCUCCGCCCCAACCCACGAACUCCGCAGACAGCUCAGGAGAUUGCUGUGAGAACAAGAAAAAACCGUCCUGGAGACCAAGGGUGCCCCUACCAGAUGGAUUCGGGCAUCUUCCCCUUCGCUUCUUCGCGAGGGAGGCCGCUUCACGCGCAGAAUAUCUACCCUCCAGUUCAUCAAGGGUGACGCUGUGUGAAAGAAAGAGGCCUCUGCUGUGUGCGUUUGAUAACAGUGCACUCAAGUCUGCUCAGAAGGUGAAACAGCCCUGGGCCACUUCAUUUUGAAGCUCUGAAUAUAUUUUUUAAAUGAAGACAUGCCAAAAUAGUUACCAAAAUUUUAAUUGUGGUUUACGAUCCUUUAAUAAUUCAAUGCUCUUGACACGCACACGCUAACAUAAUGACUGCACGGGUAAGCUCAUCAGGAGAUGAUGCCCAAAAGGCCAUAUGUGAGGCCCCUGAUGAACAUGAGGCCAGAACCAAAUGGCCCUUUUGCUCCACUCCCAGCCCAGAGAUUGGCUCUGUGCCUUCACAUGCUCGGAACGGGAGAGGAAGUGGCCUGAAGCGAGCUGGGAAUUAAGCCUGGAGCAGAGGUAGUGAGGUCUGAGGAAAAGCCUGCUUGAAACCAGGUUCAUACUGGGCCCCAGUUUGGAUACCUCACCUUCGUCAUGCCUCGUUGCCCACCUGUUAGCUGAAGAAUGUUAAAAGAGGCUCGAAGGAGAACAAAGAUAAAAAUGGAGUUCCAAAGAAGAAAGAUGCCACUGGCGGGAAGCAGGAAUGCAUUACUAAAUGCACCCUAAAGAUGCUUCCGUCCCUCCCAUCCUUCCCUCCUUCCUGAGUCGGAAUCAGGAUGCUUUAACAGGCAGUUGGCAAAGAACACCAUUCAUCCCAAACAAGCAGUGUAGUCUUUCCUGUGUUUGGUCUUUAUUAAAAUCUUGGAAUUCCAUGCCUCCUCUGAAUUUCCAUGUGGCUUCUCUUUAUGCAUAAACAUCAAAAAGGAUGCAGCUUGUUACAUAAACUUGGUAGACUGCAAAAGCCUGCCAUGUGUUUAUGCAUUACAAAGAGCCCUGCACAGUUAAAACCAAACUAAUUAGGAGGCGCAAGUCAAAAGAAGUUCUGAAAUGUUAUUAAUAAUUAUAUGUGACAAAAUCAGUUUAUUUUUAGAUUUCUGAGAAAUGCAUUUCUGGUUUGUCAUUGCUCUCCACACCUGUGAUCGUCUCUCUCAGUCUGUCUGCUUGCCCUCUCCUGCUCACCCUCCACAGUGAGUCGCAGGCGGAGGAACCCAUCAGGGCUGCUAUUCUUCAGCUCUCUAACCUUCAGCUGUGUGACUGGCUUCUUGGGCAACACGAUUGCCUGUCAUUUAACGUGCGUGGAUGGAUGAGCUCAUUAACAAGCCGCCCCAGGGGCCCUCUCCAUUGGCUGCUCUCCCAGACCCUAGUUCUUUUUCUCCACCCAACAGCAACGGUGGGCCUUCCCUGUCUGGUGAAGCACAUGCUCACACCCAUCUCAUUGUGCGCCCUUCCCCCUCCUGGAGGAGAACUUAGGGCGGUCAGGAGCAAUCAUUCUAAGCAUCCUGCUGAACCUGCGCUUUUCACGAAGGCCACUCUUUCUCCAGGACGCCACCAGCUCUCCAGAGCCCUCCCCUGGGUUCCCAGGGAGGAACGGUAACCUAGUCAGCAAUUCUUACUUCUUGCUUUGCCGAGGGGCUGCUUCCCCCUCAUGGGUUAGCACAUGUCUCGUAGGAAACCCUUAAUUCCUCUCGUUGUUCCCUCUUGCGGUGAAGCUGUGCAGCCCUAGACGGUGGGAAAGCCCUCCUGGGAAUCUGAGAGGGCUCUGUCAGAGCUGCCUGCCGAGGGUACAGGGAGGUGGGAAGUCCAGGGGUUUUACUUCCCUAAGACACGGGAAUUCAGGCUCUCCCUGUCCAUGUGUCCUGUGGUGAGUGUCUGUCUCUGAGUCUCUAGGGAUUUGCUUUCAAGUUUUAAAAAAUUUAAUGAUUAGGAUCCUGGCUUUUUGUGCCUUGGUUUCUCCUUUCUAAGAAAGGUGAAAAUAUUUGGGUUAAAUAAAGCUAAGUCCAGGUUUCUUUUGGGGGACCCUGAGAGCGCAAUGUGCCUCUUCUUUCUCAUAAUCUAGUCUCAGGAUGUCUGCCCCAUCUCUGUCUUGUUUUCUCCUUCUUACUCCCUCUCCGACAGAAUACUUCCUGCCACCUCACCCCAUGGUUUCUCGGUUGUUUUGCCCUUUUUAGACUCACUUCUAACCUCGGCGCUAUUUUUCCGUCAGCUUCAGACAGGAACCGCUAGUGAAGAAAACCUGAGACAACACUGUCGAGAGCAAGUUUUUCUGAAUCCUUCUAAUCCCCGUGGGUCUUUCAGAGGUCAAGAGCGUCCCAGGCCACUGCCAUGUGCUGAGGCUUCCAGAAUACUUUUUUUUUAAAUCUUCAACCUAACCCCUUAUCCAAUCUGAUUCUUUAACUGUUUUUUGGUUGUUUUCUUUUUUUGCAGGGAAAGAUUCACCCUGAGCUAACAUCUGUUGCCAGACUUCCUUUCUUUUUUUUCCUCCCCACAGCCCCAGUCCAUAGUUGUAUAUUCUAGCUGUGUGUCCUCUUAGUGCUUCUCUGUGAGCCGCUGCCACAGCAUGGCUGCUGACAGACGAGUGGUGUGGGCCUGUGCCCAGGGAACUGAACCUGGCCGCCAAAGCAGAGCACGCUGAAUUUUAACCACUAGGCCAUCAGGGAUGGCUCUAGACUACUUUUUUAAAAAAAAUUUAUAAAUGGCAAAAAAAAAGUCACAAAAAUUGUAGAAUAUUUUAAAUGUGUAUAUUAAACAAAUUAAUUCUUAACACACUCACAAAACAAUAUAAUUGGACUGUUUCCAAAAGACAUGAUUAAAGUAUUAAUAUAAGGCUCAUUGUGAAUUUGGGGACCCAGUUGAAACCUUUGAUAUACAUUUCCCCUUGAAGAACCUUCUGGCCCAUUUAUCGCUCCUUAUCUAGCUCUCAACCAGCUGCUACUAUCAGCCCUGCCCCCAGGCCAGUCUCUCGGAGACAUCCCUCCUGCUCUUCCCCAUGAGAUGCUCAGCAUGGAAAAGUGUCAAUUCUUGCCUGUAGGUGUGCACCGAUGACUAGAUGGUAGCUGUUAAUGUCACUCUUUUUAAACCGGGGCUGGUUUUGCAACCUCACACGCAAGAGUAUUUUUAAAUAAACUUAAUUGCUUUGAGCUCUCUGUUUUGGAAUUAAUAAAGCGUUUCAGAAUUGGCAUCAUUUGAAAGAACAACAGA